Long non-coding RNA from Haliotis rubra (blacklip abalone), 178 nucleotides. RefSeq lists it as uncharacterized. The transcript has 3 exons. Lineage: Eukaryota; Metazoa; Mollusca; Gastropoda; Lepetellida; Haliotidae. The record is from RefSeq and is a predicted model, not a curated record.
UUAGAAAGUAUUGUUAAAAUUAGAACACUGAUUGGUAUUGAUCUUAUCCUACAUGGCAAUGAGGUCUCUCAAUUGCUGAAAAUCAGAAUAUUUUCAAAUAUAUACAUAUCUAUAUCUCCCAAACAAAACUUUUUUCUCGGUUAACUUCUGUUGUAUAUAUAACGCGCGUAGCAAGCCA